AUGGGAGACAUAUUUUUUCAAUAUAAUCCGUCUUACAAGGACGUUGAGAGCUUACUACAGGCUUUUUUAAGUGAACGUGAAAAAAAUAAAAUAAUUGCUCAUGUCAACAAAACCCGGGGGCGUAAUGCAGCACAUUGGCCAUCUCAGGAUCCCGAAUGGGACUAUAAUAAUCCUGAGGACUAUCUACAACUAUACCGUUGUAGAGAGGCCAUCCUCACGGCCAUGAAGGAAUGUGCGGACAGUACAGAUAAGUGGAUGGAACUGGAAAAAAUUAAGCAAAAGGAAAACGAAACACCCUCCAGAUUUAUGGACAGAAUUAUCGAGUUUGGGGACAGAUACUUAGAUUGGGACUUAAAUAAAGAGAAUAGUUUAAGACAAGUUAGAAGAAUCUUUGUAAAUAAUUCAUGCAAAGUAAUUAAAAAUUAUUUUAAAACACAAUGCCCAAGAUGGUCAGAUAUGGACCUUGAAGAAUUGCGAAAAACAGCUAUAUAUGUUUUUAAGGGAAACGAAGAAAAGGAGAAAGAGAAUAAUGAUGACAUGGAGGAAAUGAAGAAAAAAAUGAGAUGUGUAAUAGAUAGGAUAACUAAAUUAGAAAGUGGGCAUGAUAAUGAACCAACGACAAUUGCCCCUCUCCAGAAAUCCAAUUAUCAAUCCAUUACUUGCCACUUCUGUGAGAAGAAGGGCCACAAAAUGAUGGAAUGUAGAACCUUUCUUAAGAUGUUUGGAAGGAAUACACAGUUUAAUAAUGGUUUUAGAAAUAAUAACUAUAGAAAUUAUGAUAAUGGUUAUAGAAACCAGAAUUCUAGAAAUUAUAAUAAUGACUAUGGAAAUAACUAUAAUGAAUAUAGAAAUAAGAACUUUAAAAACCAGAAUUAUAGAAAUAGGAAUUGGGAAUUUAAUGACAAUGCUCAAAUUGAAGAAAAUUUUAAUGAUAAUACUCAACAAUAUAUGAGAAAUGGCGCUCGUCCAAAAAUUACUCGAGGUGCUAAUGAUCCUCAGAGAGGUGCCCUUCAGGAGGGUGCCCAGGGAACUUCCCAGUAUAAUAAAGAUGAUUCUUCUUAG
This 1062-nucleotide long non-coding RNA is filed under the name Monodelphis domestica (gray short-tailed opossum). RNAcentral's name for it is "lncRNA (ENSMODG00000036856.1)". Lineage: Eukaryota; Metazoa; Chordata; Mammalia; Didelphimorphia; Didelphidae. The record is from RNAcentral.